Hippopotamus amphibius kiboko is the source of this 12123-nucleotide RNA transcript. It is a transcript of the gene named ciliogenesis and planar polarity effector complex subunit 1, with no coding region annotated. The record is from RefSeq and is a predicted model, not a curated record. The transcript is spliced from 55 exons. Lineage: Eukaryota; Metazoa; Chordata; Mammalia; Artiodactyla; Hippopotamidae.
GUCGCCAGGGCGCAGGCUCGCGUGGGGGGCGGGCGGCUGGGCCCGCGGCCGUCGCCCUGCAGUCGCGCCGCCGCGCUCCCCGCUUCGUCCUCGGCCUCGCCGCGCCUGCUGCGCCCCGGACGGGCCGGGCCCUGGCGGAGAGCAUCUUGGAACUUUUGACUUCAUUGUUCAUUGAAAUCCCAACAAAUAUGGAGAUAAGAUUAGAAGUUUUGACUUCAACAAGUAUCAAGCAGAAAAAACCCUGGCCACGAGUCUCCUGGUUGGGACAGGAAAAUGAAGCUGUUUUUCUUUUGGAUGAUAAAUUCAUAAAUGAAAUUAAUUUGCUAUCAGGAAGGACAAAGAAGAAAAUUCCCAACCUCCAGCCUUUGUUGAAGGAUGUUAUAGUCCUAACAACGUCCAGUAAUGAUGCCUGGCUGGCUGGGGUACUCACUACAGGGGAGCUUUUCCUCUGGAACAAAGAUCAAGAUUGUUUGAAAACUAUACAAGCAACUGAAAAGCCUAAGGAAAUGAUUAAAGCUGCAGUAGCAAGCUCUUUGAGACUGUACUUGUAUGUAUCUGGCAAUGGGAAAAGAGUUCUGCUUAUAACUCCUUCUGGAUGCAUAUAUCUUUGGGAACAUUUGGAAUUCAAGAAUAUCUUAUCUUCUAAAAGCCCGUCAUUGGUGGGCCAGUGGUCCCAGAUCAUACCUGAAGAAGCAGUUCAUUUACCUUCCACUGAAGAUAAAGAAGCUGUAGUACAUGCUGUUUUUAUAAAAAAUGAGUUAUUUGGAGACUGCUGCCUGUGUUCAUUUGCUUUCUAUUCCGGGGAAUGCCUGAAGUUAACAUUUCUAGCAGUUCGGUGGCAUGAAAAUGUAUUUACACCUGUAAGAUCACUGACAUACUGUGUUCAGUGGGCACAAGAAGAUUGCCUUCUGUGCAGUCUGAUUCCUAAAUGUGAAUCAGUAAAGUCAAGAGGAGCUCUAAUUUCUGCAUUUUCAAGAGAUGGCCUCACCCUGGCAGUAACUCUUAAUCAGAAAGACCCAAAGGCCACUCAGGUAUUAUUUAUAAACCCCCUGAAUUUUGUUACUCUUUGUGGCGGCCUUAAAGGAUGUAGUAAUAAGAAUCCUGUGGUUCCAGCUACACUUAUCAGGUCCUACUGGGUAGGUGAUAUCAGCUGGACUCAUGAUAGUCUUUUUCUGGCUUGUGUGUUAAAACGUGGCUCCCUGGUUUUAUUGACCUUCCAAGGUGAAUUGCUAACAUUGAUUACAUUUGGUUGCUCCAUAGAAUUUGGGCCCGCAGAAUUUAUUCCUCUCCACCCGCUAAUAACAUACAGACCGCAGAAGUUUACACUUCAAGAUUCAAAUAAUUCUGUAGAUUCAUCAGCUUCUGAUAGUGACCCUAUGAGACAGAGAUUUUCUAUAAAAGCACACUCACGGUUACCCUACCUCAUUAUUUCUGAUGGAUACAUGGUCACAACCCUUCGAUUUCUUGAUAAUCUGUCUCCAUCAGUGCUCAUGAGAUCCCUUCUACUUGAUUCAACCCAGAGGCUUGAGAAAACAUACCAAAGUGUGGUGUUGUCUAAGCCAAAAGGCAAAGGGCUGAACUUGCGAUCACUGGAUUCCCUAAGAUCUAGCUUGUUAAAACACCACGGGAGUGAAAAUUUAGCUGAUUCUACUGUUCCCAGAUUCUUACAGGCAGAAGAAACAAUGAAGUUAAAUGAAAACAAAGCAGAUUUGCAGGAUUUUGAAGCCGAAGAAACUAACGAAGGCAAACAUUUUCCAAACAACUUCUCUUUUUGGAACCAAAAAAAUGAUCUCUUGUUUAGUAGUGCCAAGGAGGGAAGAUUGGAAUUUGCUUCUAUGAUUGAUACGAUACAUGCCGAGGAUAAUACUGAGGAGACAGAUAAAACUGUUACAGAACUGCAUUCUGUCCAGAAAAAUCUCCUGGCAGCAUGGACUAUAGGAAUUUCAAAAAAUGUGACAGAAAAAAAUUUAAUGUUAAAUUACACAGUAGUUUGUAUCACUCAUUUUUUGUACAUUCUUCAAUUUAUAAAAUGUCCUUUCCCCAAACUUGAUCUUUUUUUAAGCAAGAGCCCAAGACAUAAUGCAUGGGUACUUUGUAUCUUUCAGCUUUUUCAUCAGUGUUUAUCAAUCCAGUACUGGGAUAUGAGAUACAAACAAGAUGUAGGACAUUUGGUAAAGCUGACCUCAAAUACUGUAAAGCUUUUGCUGACACAGCAGCAACAGGAUCAGUUAUUCUCAGAGAAGCUUUUAGCCUGUUUUCAUUUACUCAGAAUGGUAGCUGAUCAUCUCAAUGGCAUAUACAGUCUUCAGCCUGAAGUUAUUUCAUCAUCAACUGCUGAAAGUAGAACAGCAAAGCAGGACUCAUUGGUGGUACCCAUUUUUCAAAUGUUUCAAGAUAGUGGUUCUCGGGAAAACUGGUCUUGGGAUCCAUCUCUCAAGAUUCGUCCUCAAGUAUUAAAUUUUGUUCAACAGCCAGGACACAGAUUGAUUGUUCUCUGGAGAGUAUUGUACAGAAAAACUUUAUGGUAUCAAACACAAUUAAGUCAAAGAGUUCCUGAAGAUGACAUACAGUUAACUGAAAGGAUGACACAUGAAACAUCUACUAUCAAGUCCCUGUUAUGUCAUAUACAGGCUAAAUUGCAGACUGCUGGAGUUCGCUUGAACCCGACCUUAGAACUUAAGUCUAUCAAUGGGGAAGAGUGUUUCCUACUAGGAGCAUAUGAAAAGUCUGUUGAACUAUGGAAGAAAGCUCUACAAGAAACCCAAGAGAAAGGAGGAAGAAGGACAUGUUUUCUUCAGAUACGCUAUUAUCUUUCCCUUUUAUACUGCCACCUCUAUAACUACAAUUUAAAUGAUGCUCAAGGAUUAUGUGAUCAGCUAGUAAGAGAAAUACUGAGAUGGUCCCACCUACCUGGAAAAGAAAAUGAAGAUGGUUCAGUUCCUGAGAAGUGUCAUUGUGCGUUUGGAGCACCUGGAGGUGUUCACCCUGAGGCGGCGCUGAGGGUCAUCCAGUCCAUGGCUCGCUUCAUGGCUGCCUACUUCACCAAUCAGCCGCUUUGCAUUCUGCCACCUCACAGUGUGAAUGUUCUUCCUCCCCUUCAUAUUAAAACAGAGCAGCCCUUUCGACGUAUUCCUCUGCAACACUCCAGGGUGGCCAGUGUUGUUAGAGAGCAGAAUCUUUCUCACGUGUGGACUGUCGAAUACGCCCUUGAACUGUUAUUUAUUGGUGGCCUGGUUCCAGAAGCUGUGUGGUUGGCACAUAAGCUUGGAGACUGGAAGACGUCUGUUUCCAUUGGUGUGGCCUUUCAACUGUUCUGUAAACAUGAUAGCAGUUUCACAAGGUCCAAGAAAAAGGGUCUGAAUCUACCAUUAAAUAUGACUCCAGCACAGAUUUUCCAGGAAAAACUGCAGUGCUUUUUAGGGCAGCCAGCCUCUUUGGAAGCAAAAAAUGAAAUGGGCUCAAAAUUCAAACAAUUUACAGACCCCAUUGAAGAGGAAGAUGCAGACCUGAUGUUUGGUUCUGUGCAGGAAGUACUGAAGGCAGCAGUUAUGGCUGAUGCAGAUGUUCUUUCAGAGACAUUUCAGCUUCUGAUACGCUCUGCCAAGGACUUCAGUAAGAGACUGUGGGGCUUAGUGCCAGUCGGCUUGUAUCUUCCAGCUCCUCCAUUAUAUUGUCCUCAGCCAGCGGUUCUUAGUGAAGAAGAUGGUGACGAUCUUCUUUUAAAAGCUGAAAAAGAUAAUCGCCAAAAGGUGUCUGGAAUCCUCCAACGUGUUCUCUUGCUUUUCCGGGCAGCUCGGUGUUCUUUUCCGGUAGCACAGUGGUACAUCUUGCAGUUGAGAUGGGCACGAAAAGUCAUGCAGAAGAUUCGAAUGAAAGGGUCCCUUCCUUCAUUGAGUCCUUUCCCUCAGUCAUUACUUAAUUACUGUAAAGGAGGUGUAGCAUUCUUUCGACCUGGAGCAACUGGAGACCACAAGCUUGAUGAAGUGUCCAUUAAAGCAAUAGGUUGCUUCAGAGAGCUUUGUGCUUUGUGUUGGAUGCUGCAUGUCCGUGAUAAGUUAUCCUAUAGUUGCAGGCAAUAUCAGAAGGCAAGAGAAAAUGUGGAGGGAAAAAAGGACCUCGAAGUGAAGUUUGAUUCUUGUAUGGUUGAGCACUGUCUCAGUGCAGUGGAAUGGGCUUGUAGAAUGCUACCCUUCUCUCGGUUUUCUAAUAUUGAAGAACUUAUUCAGGAUCUGAUUUUGAGUCUCAUUGGAGAACUGCCACCAAUCAGAAAGGUAGCAGAAAUUUUUGUGAAAGCAUUUCCCAAUCCUGAGGACAUAAGGGUUCCUUUAAGAGAAAAAUAUCACUCUCUUCAACAGAGACUCAGACACUGUGUUGUGAAAGGUCCCCAAACUGAGGAAAUGAUGUCUGUUAUCAUGCAUUCUGUCCAUAAAGUGAGGGUGAAAGCCCUGAAACGUGUGCAGAGAAAUAUAGGUUCUUUUGAGAUAAAUAUAUGGGAACCAAUUGAAGAAGAAAAACCAGCUGAGGUUCCAGCUUUUGACAGGUUUUCCCUGGGAACUAGUUUGAGCAGGAGCACACUCACAGAACUGGGGAAUUCUCUGGUCCACAGUGAUGCAGAUACAGCUGAUACCUUCUCAGAAGCUUUGUCAGCUGAAGAAAAAAGUAGGAUACAUUUGUAUCAAAGAAAUGCCCCAGAUCAGAUGGAAUUAACAUUGACUGGUAAACCCAAUGGAAAAAAGAAAAUAUAUAAUCAGGAGGAAAACUCUAAAAGAAAAGAAGAUCGUGAAAAGUUAUUACAAAAUGCACUUCCUGCAAUAGGUGUUUGGGAAUUUGAACGUGACGAUGAGGAGUACAUUAAAUUUCUUGAACUUUUCUUGAGUUAUGUUCUUGAAAGAGACCUCCUUGGUCCCAAGGAUGCUGGCAUUCCAUUUCUAACUAGCUUUUCCGGACAUCUUAGAGAGCAUGAACUUCAUUCUUUACUUUUUGAUGUACAUACAACAUUAAAGCGACGUCAGGGCAAAACCAAAAGUCAGAAUGUGUUUAGAGCUGGCUCCUGCUUUGUUGUUGCUUCCGAGUCACAUGAGUAUGAAAAAUCGGAAAACCAGACACUUUCAGCUUCUGUACUGGUUAAUCAAGGGAUCGGGCCUUUUGUAGAUAACCCUUUGAAUGAAGUCAAUAAAAAUGAAGGGAAGAGUGGGUUGUUUGGUUUAAAACAGAAGUCAAUUUACAGAAUACAAGAUGACAAUGCAGAGAAAACUUUAAUAGCGAGAUUGUCAGACCGUACGUUUUGCACUCCUAAGUCUAUGGAAACUAGAAGAUGUAUUUUCAAAGCAAUUCAAUGCAGUGAUAUUAACCCUCAAGAAGAUCUUCCUCUAGCACUAAAUAAUACAUUUGGCAGUAUAAGACGGUUGUUGGAAUGGAUGAUAAGAUGGUCUGAUAGGAGACUGCUCUAUGAUUCUGGUCUCACUGAGUCAUCUUGUGAGUACAGUCCCGUCAUUCGUGUAAAGACCUCUACAGCUGCCAUUCUUACAUCAUUGUGGCUUUUGAAACAACCCUAUUUUGCUGCAUAUAAGGCAAAAAAUGCCAUUAUUAAGGUGCUAGAGAAUAGUUGCCCUGGACCUCAGAAUGGGACCAAUAUAGAAAGUGAUUAUAAAACAGAUGCUGGCUGUUCCGUUGCAGUAUCCAUUCAAGGUGGGAUUGAGGAAAGAAAUGAUCAAAAUGAAUCUUGUCAAAGUAUCUUGAAUAGAAUGCCAAGUGAAAUAAAAAAUCCUGAAAUAAAAGGAACCAAUGAUGAGAUUAUUUCUGUCACUGAUGAUACUGAAAAAGAAUUUGUAGAUAUUGAUGAGGAUCUUUUAGAAGGAGAAACAUUUACACAGGAGGAAAUGGAUAUAUACCCAUCAGACUAUGAAGAGGAUGCCAAAGAACCUGUUGGAAGUGCUCAAAGUCCAUUUUACACGCAGAUGCAGACUUUACCACAGCAUUUAGAACAUUCCACAGGAGAGGUUCAGUGUCCAAGGGAAGAACCUUUGGAGACGUGUAUGGAGAAAAAAUCAACUGAACAGAAAUGUGCACCGGUCUCUGCAUGUAAAGACAAAUCUUCCUCAGCUUCACCUUUGGUAUCAAAUGGAGUCACUCUUGCUUCACAAACACCGGGACCAACAGCUCAGCCGACCCAGAGACACGAACCCAGGGCUCAGUUAUCACAUUCUUCCGAUUCUGUUAGGCAAAUGCUCCAAGAUGAAAUGUUUAAAUUAGUUCAGCUGCAACAGGUCAACUUCAUGAGCCUAAUGCAAAUAGUAGGAUCAUCCUUUGCUAACCUCCCGGAUAUACAUCAGCUUCUACAGCAGACUCAGUCUGUGCAUUUGGUGGGAAGCCAAGGGUCAAACCCCACAAGAGGGAGUAAUGGUAUUGAAGACACCAGUAGAAAUCUGAAGGAGAGAUUUUUUGUUAAACCACAAGCCAUGGGAGAGUAUGCCAGAGAGCCUGGCAAGAGCAGCCCACACUGGCAUAAAGAAACUGUGCAAUCUGGUGAAAACAGUAAUGGAAAUUUACAGAAUGUUCCACAUGGGAGUGUUCCUUUUUGUCAGUUAGAAGGCCAGCCCCAGAACAGAGGACUAACUACAGCAUCUCAAAGCUUAACAACCACUUCAUUGUCUCCAGCCCCUGCUGGAAAUACUCACCUCCACCUUUUGUCCACAUCUUCUGCCAUUCCGAAGACACCUAGACUUAUCUCCACUGCAAAAACUUUCAGACCUGGUGAUGGUUUUCCUUUGCUUCAAUUUCAGCCCAAGCCGGAAUUUAAACCCCUUUCCUUCCAUGCGGGAAGGGUUCCACAGGUUCCCUUCAGUCCUCCGCCACAGCCAAGAGAGGCUUGGGGAUUAUCUGAUAUCUUCCAACCUCCUUUGACAAAGAGAGCAAUGGACACUACUUCAAUGUCCCAUUUGAAUUUGAACCAGUAUAAUACUGAAGCCAUAAAAAAACCAGUUGAGGAGAAGAAAUGGGCAGAAACAAUAAUUACAGAAAUCCCUAAGCAUGUGAACUUGGAUCAGUAUGUUGGACAAGAAAACUUGACAUCUCAACAGGACUCUGCAACAUUUGUAAAACAAGAAAAGCUGUUUGAUGUAAAGCCAGGGCCCUUUGAGAUAUCUCCUCAGAAUUCCUUUGGACUUCCAUUAUUGCACCUGCAACUUAAACCUCCUUAUGUAUUUGCCUCUGCCUCAAGAGCAUCAGUUGCAGUUCCAUCAAUACCUAUUAGAUCUGUAAUAGAAGAAAGAAAAUACUCAAGACUGUCACUCCUUCAUUCAUGUCUAUCCCAAGAAAAUAUGUACCAAAAACCACAACUUAUUCCACUUGAAAACCUUAUUGCAUUUAAACAAAAGCAACAGAAAUUAACGCAUAAUUUAUUUGAACAAGGUGAUCCUGGACACCUCCAGCUUCUGAAGGUCAAAAUAGAAUCAUCCGAAUUGAGACAAGGAAAGGACAGUAAAAAAAGACAAAGACGACGAGCUGAAAAAGAGCUGCAAGAGAAAAGAUCAGAGAAACUAAGGAGAAAGCCAAGUGUGACUUUCCAAUCAGAGGAUUUCAUCAUUAAUGAUAAUGAUUCAGAAAUAGUUAUGAAACCCAAGGAGCAACAAGAACAGCCUGGUUCCCAGCAGCUGGAAGACUUCGACAUUUCUUUUGAAAAGCUCCAAGAUGAUAUUAAUACUUCAGCUGGAUUGCAUUUCAUGGCCUCUGUGAAAAAGAAAGCUAAAGAAUGUCAGGAUGCAAGUACAAAUACAGACCCAGGUAAAGAAGCCGCUUCUCAAGAAGUUGUUUCUGAAUGUCGUAAAAAUCAACAAAUCAUUUCUUCCACAUCAGAACAUGAAUCUUUGAAUGUUCCUCAACUUUUGGCUCCAGAUAUAUAUCUAAAUCUCAGACUUUCCACUGAAAUAUCAGAGAAACCUCUGUCACCUUCAGCAUCUGAAACGGUUGGACACACUUACAUAAAUGUGAUUGACAUUGAAGCUGGUGAUCUACAGGAGUUACCUGUCAGGGAAGAGCCUUCAGAUGACAGUGUUAUCAAGCAGCAAAGGGAUGGUCCAGAAGUCCCGUCUUCUGCAGAAUUACAUUACAUGGCCGCUUCAGCUAUGAACGCUGUUCCCCUGCACAGUUUUAAGAGUCAAGAAUCUGCCAAUUCCACCAUGGAUUUAUUUUUUAAACCUGCAAAAGUGUCUCCAUCUUGUCUGGAUGGAAGAAGCUGGAGAGCAGGCAUUACAGAAGUGAAGGAACCUGGCGUCACCUCACCUCCACCAUCAGACAUUCAGCAGGACCAAGAUACGCCGAAGGCAGAUUUUCGAUUCAAGGAACCAAGUUCAAAGUCCGAUACUGCAGAAGAUUAUCUGCUGUGGGAGCUACCGCAGGAUGUCUCUGCCACUCGUCCUGCGCCAAGCUCUGCAGCUCGCCGGCUAGAGCAUCUCACCUCAAAGCUUCAGAAAAUUGAUGAACAGCUGUUAGCAAUACAGAACAUUGCUGAAAACAUAGAGCAGAAUUACCCCAGACGCAUAAUACUAGACCAACAUUGUAUUAAGGUUGAACCUGUGGAUCACACUGAAUUGUCUUCUGGCCCUGAAUCUGAAAAAACGUUGCCUUCAAAAACCAUUGGCAUUUUUGAAGAAGCGCAUUUCCCGACUCAUAUGAAUAAAGAAGAUCAAAGGGACAUUGAAGAGAUUUCAGUAACGGAAACUCAUCCUAGUCGGCAAACCUGUGUGUUUCCUUCUGCUGAUUCAGCUGUCAGCCUUUCCAGUGACCAGAAUAUGACUUCUCCUGAUGGAAAAAGGGAAACUGCUGAGGACCAGCCUGUGAAAUGUCACCCAGUAGAGAACAAGGGGAGCCCCCUAGUGUGGAGAAUGGAUGAGCUGACUCUGGUGAAAGGAUUUUCAAGAAAAAGUGUGAAUAACGGUGAUGAAUUAUUUGAGAGUGUUUUAGUAGAUCCACUCCAGAUGAGUGAACUGACUGAUAUUGCAGACAUUAUCGAUGACCUUAUAACAAAAGAUGGCGUUUCCAGUGAAGAGCUUGGCUUAACGGAACAACAGGCUAGGAGCAUCUCCAGGAUUCCGCGUUCCUCUGGUAGACGUCCACAAAGAACUGAGAAGGAGAGAAGAGAGAUUCAAGUCUGGAUGAAAAGAAAACGAAAAGAAAGAAUGGCAGAGUACUUAAGUCAGCUGGCCGAGAAGAGAGGGCAAGAACACGACCCUUUCUGCCCCAGGAGCCACCCAUUUUACAUGACUUCAAGGGAAAUUAGGCUGAGACAAAAGAUGAAGCGCGAAAAAGACAGAUUGCUGCUCUCUGACCACUAUAGUCGUCGCAUCUCACAAGCGUACAGCCUGAUGAAUGAACUGUUAUCUGAAUCAGUACAGCUUCCAGCAACUGCACAGAACCCAUUGCCUAACAAACCCAGAUCUGCUCAAAUUCCCAGAAGGCAACGCUCCCUUUCUCCAAGAGGAGAGAAUCGACACGGGCAGAAUUUUCCACUACAUAGACCUGGAAACGUCAGCCACAUAUCCACCAAAUCAAGUUAUACCCAAAAGGGGAGACCUUCUGGGCAACCUCAUUGCUCACCUUGGCCACGUGGAACUGCUACUUUUACCAGACAGAGGAAAGCUGGUGGAGCCAAAGUGGCGGCAAGAAAGGCUGUGCCGUCACCAGAUUCAUCUUUGAGUUUACACAUCACAUCUCUCUUCAGCUGUGUCUAUCUGCUGUUUAACUCAUUUAUCAACUUUUAAUGUUGAUGGCUAAACCUUCUAGAAAUUCUCCUUGGUCCUUUCCAUACUUUCCCCCCACUGUAUGCAUUAAAACCCAAGCCUCUAGUUAUUAGAGGCCUAGAAGCAUCGUUUCCUAUGCUUUUAAUCUUAUAAUCCCAGGCCAGUCUUUUUCUUUCAGAGUCUCUCAUUUUAAUCUUUUGUAAGCUAUUUUCUAGUUUAGAGUACCCCAUAGCUUUUUAUUCUUUCUGAGCAAAUAUUGAACAAUGUUUGUUUUAAUAGAUAAAAUGCCCCAAAAUACAGUGUUACUCCUAAAAACAGCUGUACCUUUGUAUUGUAUUUUGAAAGCUCCAGAGACCCAGGGUUUUGUGUUCUUGAAGUGAUACGAUCUAGCAUGAGACCUUGUCCAUAGAAAGGCAAAGAGAAGUAUUUCUUUCGUUAUCCAGGGAUAGCCCUGCCUCUGAGACUGUGACUUCAGGUUUCUAGCUUGGGUGUGUGUCUAGACUGUGGCCUAAUAAUUGACACAGGUAGUGCAAGAGGAGAGGCAGGGUUUUAUUCUGGGGGAGGUGGAGCUGAUGGAUUUAGUGUACUGUUCAGUUUCGGUUCCUCAGGCGAGACUACGUGCAGUUGUUUGGCAAUAAAGAAACUGAGAGGCAGCAUCCGCUCUCCUGCGGAGAAAGAAGCUGCUUUAAGGGGAUGCUGGUGCAUUUGCCCACUAGUUUGCACUGUGGGGUUUCUUCCUGAUACAUCACUUACCUUUGACCUUAGAAAGCUUUCCCUGGCCACACUGGGGCAGGAGCACCGCACCUGCAGAAGCUUUGCACAUGCUCCGUUUUACAGAAUUUAUUUCCUAUUGUAUUUUUAUCUCAAAAUUGGAUAUCCCAAAUAAAUCUAGAGAAAUGCACUUGAAUCUGAAGUGUAGGAAAUUACCAAGCCAUCCCUGCUGUAAAGCAAGGUGAGAGAAAGCCAUUGAUAGCUUCUCAAGUUUUGUAGAUACACCACAGGUAAAGGUUUACCCUAAAAUGUAGGCUUAUUAAAACUUGGUAUCAGCAGACUUGGUGAUGAUGUGUCAUUCUUUCUAGAUGGCAGUAAUUAUGUUCAUUUGACUAAACAAGAGUAUUAAAGACUAGAUGCCAAAUUAAUUGUAGCGGAGAUAGGGGUGGGAUUAUUAGUGGUCACAGUCUUUGCUAAUCUCUUAUCAUACCUAGAAGACUUGAAGGAACAAGUUCAGAGCCCCGCCUCCAUUGUUUGCAUCUACUCUGGAGAGACAGGCUACCCCUGUACCCACAAUACUGCUUGACUACCUGCUGGUUUCUUUUUCUUUUUUUUAGUCCUCAGUCUCAACCUUUUCUGUUUUACCAGCUCUUUUUUUUUUUAAACUCAGUGUGUUCACAUGUGCAUUCCGAUUGUCCAUUCAUAGAUAUUUUUUCUUCACAGUUUUAAAAAAAAAUUGUUCCUUAGUAACAUUUACUGAAAUAAUUAUUUUAACAUGGAACUUUCAAUCACAUCCCCAAAUACCUAGUGAUGUCUUUAAAUAGCAGGAAAAAAAGUCAACCUUUUUUCAGCUAGAGCACAGCUCUCACAUUGGAUUCUAAAGUGGUGACCACAGGUGCUGUGGAAUGAUGUGAACUUUAUUUCUUUCUGUUUCAAACUCUAAUCAAGGGUCGGAAACAGAAGAAUCCCUAAGGAUCCCCUAAGCCACCCUUCUCCCUAUAAUCCAGGAAGCAAGCUAUUGGAAAGCUGCUGCCUUGGGGAUCCAGAUUAAUAGAACCAUUUCUUACUUACAGAUGUGAAGAGUAUCCAAAAGGGCCCUCCAAGUACUAUUCUCCUCUCACCCUAAAGAACAGGAAGUUAACGUAUUAGCUCAGGUUCUAGGCAUAGAGAUUCUCUCUCACCUUGGGCAAAUUACAUAACCUCUCUAAGCCUCACCUUCCUCAUCUGCAAAAUGGGGAUAGUAACCCUUCUCCCAUAGGACUUUCUUGAAGAAUAUUCACUCUGUAGCAGUCCAUUGAGUCCUGCUACUUACCAGACACUGUUAGGAACAACACAGACAGUAGCACAAAGAAUAAGAUAUGGGAGACCUUGAAGGUCUCUUUGAGAAGGUGUCAUUGGAAUGAAGAUGCUGAAUGAUGAAAAGGGGGUUGUCAUGUAAAGAUAAAGAAGAACAGUUCCAGACGGAGAGAAGAGCAAGUUCAAAGCCCUGCUACAGAGGCAGUUUUGGUGUGACAGAGGAGAUCAGUGUGGGAACAUGGCCAGAGAACAGGAGUUGCUAGAAUCCUAAAGCCAACCAUAACCAGACCUUGCGUUUCAGAUAUUAGGCGCUAAUGCUCCCUGUCUGCAGUGUACAAAAAAUCACAGAAGUACUGGGCUUGCACCUCAAACCAAGGAG